RNAcentral lists this ribosomal RNA (497 nucleotides) under uncultured bacterium. RNAcentral describes it as "partial 16S ribosomal RNA". It matches the Rfam family "Bacterial small subunit ribosomal RNA", at positions 28 to 507 of the family's 1533-position model. The record is from RNAcentral.
GAUGAACGCUGGCGGCGUGCCUAAUACAUGCAAGUCGAGCGAACGGACGAUAAGCUUGCUUUUCUGAUGUUAGCGGCUGACGGGUGAGUAACACGUGUAUCACCUUCCUCUUUUUCUGGGAUAACUUCGUGAAACCGGUGCUAAUACCGGCUAAUAUUUUGUACCGCAUGGUUCAAAAGUUCAAGACGCUCUUGCUGUCACUUAUAGAUGUAUCCGCGCUGCAUUAUCUAGUUGGUAAGGUAACAGCAUACCAAGGCAACGAUGCAUAGCCGACCUGAGAGGGUGAUCGGCCACACUGGAACUGAGACACGGUCCAGACUCCUACGGGAGGCAGCAGUAGGGAAUAUUCCGCAAUGGGCGAAAGCCUGACGGAGCAACGCCGCGUGAGUGAUGAAGGUCUUCGGAUCGUAAAACUCUGUUAUUAGGGAAGAACAUAUGUGUAAGUAACUGUGCACAUCUUGACGGUACCUAAUCAGAAAGCCACGGCUAACUACGUG